RNAcentral lists this non-coding RNA (29 nucleotides) under Mus musculus (house mouse). Lineage: Eukaryota; Metazoa; Chordata; Mammalia; Rodentia; Muridae. The record is from RNAcentral.
UAGGGAAUUGCGAAUUUGGUUAGUCCAGG